AGUGAACGCUGGCGGUAGGCCUAACACAUGCAAGUCGAACGGCAGCACAGUAAGAGCUUGCUCUUACGGGUGGCGAGUGGCGGACGUGUGAGGAAUACAUCGUAAUCUACUUUUUCGUGGGGGAUAACGUAGGUAAACUUACUCUAAUACCGCAUACGACCUACGGGUGAAAGCAUGGGAUCUUCUGACCUUGCGCGGUUGAAUGAGCCGAUGUCGGAUUAGCUAGUUGGCGGGGUAAAGGCCCACCUAGGCGACGAUCCGCAGCUGGUCUGAGAGGAUGAUAAGCGACACUGGAACUGAGACACGGUCCAGACUCCUACGGGAGGCAGCAGUGGGGAAUAGUGGACAAAGGGCGCAAGCAUGAUCCAGCCAUACCGCGUGGGUGAAGAAGGCCUUCGGGUUGUAAAGACCUUUUGUUGGGAAAGAAAAGCAGCAGGUUAAUACCCAGCUGUUCUGACGGUACCCAAAGAAUAAGCACCGGCUAACUUCGUG
Molecule: ribosomal RNA, 492 nt
Filed under: uncultured bacterium
Lineage: Bacteria
Description: partial 16S ribosomal RNA
Rfam family: Bacterial small subunit ribosomal RNA
Source: RNAcentral